GUAUGUCUAGCUCAGUUGGUAGAGUGCAAGAUUUUUAACCUUAAGGUUGUGGGUUCAAGCUCCAUGGUGGACG
This 73-nucleotide transfer RNA is filed under the name Zea mays. It matches the Rfam family "tRNA". From Rfam's summary of the family: Transfer RNA (tRNA) molecules are approximately 80 nucleotides in length. Lineage: Eukaryota; Viridiplantae; Streptophyta; Magnoliopsida; Poales; Poaceae. The record is from Rfam by way of RNAcentral.